Molecule: ribosomal RNA, 175 nt
Filed under: Clostridium tetani
Lineage: Bacteria; Bacillati; Bacillota; Clostridia; Eubacteriales; Clostridiaceae
Description: partial 23S ribosomal RNA
Rfam family: Bacterial large subunit ribosomal RNA
Source: RNAcentral
UCGGGAAGGGAUAAACGCGGAAAGCAUCUAAGCGUGAAGCCCACCCUAAGAUGAGAUUUCCCAUGACGUAAGUCAAUAAGAUCCCUUGAAGAACACAAGGUUGAUAGGUCAGAGGUGUAAGUGCAGCAAUGUAUUUAGCUGACUGAUACUAAUAGAUCGAAGGCUUGAUCAAAUU